This 107-nucleotide small RNA is filed under the name Marmota monax (woodchuck). The record is from RNAcentral. Lineage: Eukaryota; Metazoa; Chordata; Mammalia; Rodentia; Sciuridae.
GCUGGGUGUUGUGGCACAUUCCUGUAAUCCCAGCUGCUCGGGAGGCUGAGGCAGGAGGAUUACAAGUUUAAGGCUAGUUUGGAUAACUUAGUAAGGUCCUGUCUCAA